CUAGUAACGGCGAGUGAAGCGGCAACAGCUCAAAUUUGAAAUCUGGCCUUCGGGUCCGAGUUGUAAUUUGUAGAGGAUGCUUUUGGUGAGGUGCCUUCCGAGUUCCCUGGAACGGGACGCCAUAGAGGGUGAGAGCCCCGUCUGGUUGGACACCGAUCCUCUGUAAAGCUCCUUCGACGAGUCGAGUAGUUUGGGAAUGCUGCUCUAAAUGGGAGGUAUAUGUCUUCUAAAGCUAAAUAUUGGCCAGAGACCGAUAGCGCACAAGUAGAGUGAUCGAAAGAUGAAAAGCACUUUGAAAAGAGAGUUAAAAAGUACGUGAAAUUGUUGAAAGGGAAGCGCUCAUGACCAGACUUGGGCUUGGUUGAUCAUCCAGGGUUCUCCCUGGUGCACUCUUCCAGUUCAGGCCAGCAUCAGUUCGCUGUGGGGGAUAAAGGCUUUGGGAAUGUGGCUCCCUCGGGAGUGUUAUAGCCCAUUGUGUAAUACCCUGUGGUGGACUGAGGUUCGCGCAUUCGCAAGGAU
This 519-nucleotide ribosomal RNA is filed under the name Dactylonectria macrodidyma. RNAcentral describes it as "LSU rRNA". It matches the Rfam family "Eukaryotic large subunit ribosomal RNA", at positions 80 to 624 of the family's 3401-position model. The record is from RNAcentral. Lineage: Eukaryota; Fungi; Ascomycota; Sordariomycetes; Hypocreales; Nectriaceae.